AGAUGAAUAUGUGAAUCGUAAUACUGGUAUCUUUCAGAAUGUGUAUUCCCUACUCUUUGCAAGAAGACUGAGACUAGAAAUGGUAGCAAUGAAGGAAUAAGAAAAGAUCAUCAAGUAUAAGGAUGUAUCACUGGAGACCAAGACCAAGAUUGCCCACACCCCUUGUACUUCUGGUCACCAUGUGUGGGUGUGAAAGAUGGACAAUAAAGAAAGCUGACAGGAAAAAAAAUUGAUUCAUUUGAGCUUUGCAGUUACCCUGGGCUACCAGAAAGACAAAUAAGAGAGUCAUAGUUUAAAUCAAGCCUGAACUAUCUCUGGAGGCACAAAUGUUGAAACUGAAGCUUUCCUGACUUUGAGCACAUCAUAAAAAGGCAGGAUUCUCUGGAAAAGACAAUUAUGCCGGCAAAUGUGGAAGGCAGCAGGAAAAGAGGAAGACCAAAUAUGAAAUGGAUUGACUCCAAAAGAAAUCACAGGUUUGAGUUUACAAGAGCUGAGCAGGGCUGUGGAAAACAGGACAUUUUUAAAUAGCUCAUUCAUAGGGUCUCCAUAAGUCAGAGGUGACUUGACAGCACAUAACAACAAAAAUAACAAUAACCUUUUUUCUGUACAAUUCUAGACUCAAAGAAGCAUGCAAAAAUGUGAAUCCUGAGGGAAGAGUAUAGAAAAAAUAAUUUUAGGACAUAUUUUGGAUAAAAUGUAUAUUUUAGAGGCAACUGUAUAUUAAAUUCUGAAUGUAUUUUUAUUUUCUUUCUUUUAAAGUCAUAGGCUAACAUGGAAGCAGGACUGAAUAAUUAUGACUCAACACAUAUGAAACUAACAUUGACUAGACGUAGCUAAAUUCUCCCACCUACAGGAAGGAGUCAAGUGGUGAUGUCCAGUUCAUAUCCGGAAGCAACACUUAAAGUCCAAAUGUUUCACAUGGGGCAAAUCACUGUCUAUUCACAAAAAGCAUUCUGUUGCAGCAAAAUGACACAGAAGUCACAUUCAAGUACAUCUAAUCCACCUGUACUCAAAGAUUAGUGUGAAUUCAUGAAUUAUAUCUUUAAACCCCAAUUAAUAGACACUACCACCUAC
Molecule: long non-coding RNA, 1074 nt
Filed under: Pogona vitticeps (central bearded dragon)
Lineage: Eukaryota; Metazoa; Chordata; Lepidosauria; Squamata; Agamidae
Description: lncRNA (ENSPVIG00000002138.1)
Source: RNAcentral